This 406-nucleotide ribosomal RNA is filed under the name uncultured bacterium. Its description in RNAcentral is "partial 16S ribosomal RNA". It matches the Rfam family "Bacterial small subunit ribosomal RNA", at positions 29 to 526 of the family's 1533-position model. The record is from RNAcentral.
AUUGAACGCUGGCGGCAGGCCUAACACAUGCAAGUCGAACGAGUGGCGGAGGUGUGAGUAAUGUCUGGGAACCUGCCUGAUGGAGGGGGAUAAAUACUGGAAACGGUAGUUAAUCCCGCAUACCAUCAGAUGUGCCCAGAUGGGAUUAGCAAGUGGGUGGUGUAACGGCUCACAAAGGCGACGAUCCCUAGCGGGUCUGAGAGGAUGACCAGCCCCAAUGGAACUGAGAAACGGCCCAGACUCCUACGGGAGGAAGCAGUGGGGAAUAUUGCACAAGGGGCGAAAGCCUGAUGCAGCCAGGCGGCUUGUAGGAAGAAGGCCUUCGGGUUGUAAAGUACUUUCAGCGGGGAGGCGGUACCCGCAGAAGAAGCACCGGCUAACUCCGUGCCAGCAGCCGCGGUAAUAC